RNAcentral lists this transfer RNA (77 nucleotides) under Escherichia coli. RNAcentral's name for it is "tRNA-Val". It matches the Rfam family "tRNA". From Rfam's summary of the family: Transfer RNA (tRNA) molecules are approximately 80 nucleotides in length. Their secondary structure includes four short double-helical elements and three loops (D, anti-codon, and T loops). Lineage: Bacteria; Pseudomonadati; Pseudomonadota; Gammaproteobacteria; Enterobacterales; Enterobacteriaceae. The record is from RNAcentral.
GCGUUCAUAGCUCAGUUGGUUAGAGCACCACCUUGACAUGGUGGGGGUCGUUGGUUCGAGUCCAAUUGAACGCACGA